This 523-nucleotide ribosomal RNA is filed under the name Colletotrichum falcatum. RNAcentral's name for it is "eukaryotic LSU rRNA". The stretch from base 214 to 367 matches the Rfam family "5.8S ribosomal RNA". Lineage: Eukaryota; Fungi; Ascomycota; Sordariomycetes; Glomerellales; Glomerellaceae. The record is from RNAcentral.
GUGGCGGACCCUCCCGGAGCCUCCUUUGCGUAGUAACUAACGUCUCGCAUCCCUUUCCGGAGGGACUCCUGCCGUAAAACCCCCGGGUUCUGGUGACCUCGGAUCCGGGGGCGCCCCCCAGGCCCGGUCCCGCUCGGGGCCGAGCGCCCGCCGGAGGAUCACCCAACUCUAUUUUAACGACGUUUCUUCUGAGUGGCACAAGCAAAUAAUUAAAACUUUUAACAACGGAUCUCUUGGUUCUGGCAUCGAUGAAGAACGCAGCGAAAUGCGAUAAGUAAUGUGAAUUGCAGAAUUCAGUGAAUCAUCGAAUCUUUGAACGCACAUUGCGCCCGCCAGCAUUCUGGCGGGCAUGCCUGUUCGAGCGUCAUUUCAACCCUCAAGCCUCGCUUGGUGUUGGGGCACUACGGUCGACGUAGGCCCUUAAAAGGUAGUGGCGGACCCUCCCCGGGAGCCUCCUUUGCGUAGUAACUAACGUCUCGCAUCGGGGAUUCCGGAGGGACUCCUGCCGUAAAAACCCCCACAC